Molecule: ribosomal RNA, 576 nt
Filed under: uncultured bacterium
Lineage: Bacteria
Description: partial 16S ribosomal RNA
Rfam family: Bacterial small subunit ribosomal RNA
Source: RNAcentral
UAAGGAAUAUUGGACAAUGGACGCAAGUCUGAUCCAGCCAUGCCGCGUGAAGGAUGACUGCCCUCUGGGUUGUAAACUUCUUUUAUAGGGGAAGAAAGUUAUUUUUUAGGAUAUUUGACGGUACCCUAUGAAUAAGCACUGGCUAACUCCGUGCCAGCAGCCGCGGUAAUACGGAGGGUGCAAGCGUUAUCCGGAUUCACUGGGUUUAAAGGGUGCGUAGGCGGGUAUGUAAGUCAGUGGUGAAAUACCGGAGCUUAACUUCGGAACUGCCAUUGAUACUAUAUAUCUUGAAUAUUGUGGAGGUAAGCGGAAUAUGUCAUGUAGCGGUGAAAUGCUUAGAGAUGACAUAGAACACCGAUUGCGAAGGCAGCUUGCUACGCAAAUAUUGACGCUGAGGCACGAAAGCGUGGGGAUCAAACAGGAUUAGAUACCCUGGUAGUCCACGCCCUAAACGAUGAUUACUCGACAUUAGCGAUACACAGUUAGUGUCUGAGCGAAAGCAUUAAGUAAUCCACCUGGGAAGUACGACCGCAAGGUUGAAACUUAAAGGAAUUGACGGGGUCAUAGCUGUUUCCU